UUCUUCAAAUAUAUUUAUGAUAACAAAAUAGUCCUUUUAAAUUUAUGCUGUUGAUUCAACCACCAACUCUUUUUGGUCUUUUGAAUGCAGAUCUCUAGGUUUGAUGCAGUACACACGAGACCCAAGAUGCUGAACUUCAAGCCCAGCAACCUCACAACCACUGAAAAAUAAAGAUACAUCCUCCUUUCCAAUCCUGCGUCUCCAACUCAUUAAAAAUGCAGGCCUGGGCAACCCCAUGAAUGUUCCUCCAUUCUGUUCAUUAGCUGCGACUACUUCGUCAUUUUUUGGCUUGUAAGAUUUGAGGAGAAAGGAAAGAGUUUCUAUCAGGUUCGAGUACUGUUUCACAUACAAUAAUAUAUCACUAGCUAUAACCAAGUCCCAGUCAGGAUCAGCAAUUGGAAACGUGUCACCCCAUGUAUGCUUUAUGUGAGGAAGGACAGGUGUGAUUCCAUUUGCAGCACAGUUAUAAGCUAUGUUCUCUUCAAUUUCUUGAUCAUUGUAGUCUGAUGUCGUGAUAUCAAGAUUAAAUGAUCUGCUAAGAAAAAUAGCUAAAGCUCCUGUGCCGCUGCCCAAUUCAAUGCAACGGCGUCUUUCUAUAUGUGACCUAUGCUGAACUAACCAUUCUGCAAAUGCAAAUGUCCCUGGCCAGAGUAAAUUAGCAUUCAGCCGAUGAAAAGAAAAUUCUCGGAUGAGCAACUCCAUUCCGGGAAAACUGUGCUUCCUCUCCACAUAGCUUUGUUGGGAUUUGUUCGUUUCCUCAACAAUAGAGGCGUCAUCGUCGUCGGCGAAAAGCGAAGACGGGGAGAAGAGGGCAAUGUCCAUC
RNAcentral lists this unclassified non-coding RNA (823 nucleotides) under Hevea brasiliensis (rubber tree). Lineage: Eukaryota; Viridiplantae; Streptophyta; Magnoliopsida; Malpighiales; Euphorbiaceae. The record is from RNAcentral.